AAAAAAAAAAAAAAACACACUCAGACACAUAUCCUUAUUUUCAAUGUCCAUGUCGUUUGAUCACUUUUUUCUUUGACUCGCGGAGUAAUUUCUGAGAGAAGGGUGCUCAUGGUAUGAUGACGAGCAA
Molecule: non-coding RNA, 127 nt
Filed under: Platyophrya macrostoma
Lineage: Eukaryota; Ciliophora; Colpodea; Cyrtolophosidida; Platyophryidae
Source: RNAcentral